UCGCUCUCUUCCCUCACCAAAAAAUAAAAAAGAAAGAAAAGAGAAAAAAAGGAAACGUCGCUCUCCCCUUCCUCCCAUCGCCUCCAGGUCUCCAGUGCUCCAUCCGCCAUCGCCUCCAGUGCUCCCGCCGCCAUCGCCGGCGCACGGCACUGACCGGAAAACACGCUCUCAGCUAGGCGCCAGCACCGCCGCCGCUUCCAGGUUCGGAGCGCGCUUGACCGGCAGCAGGCCUCCAUUGCCCCGGCCAGGUCGCAGGUGUAGCUCCAAGAACAUGUGUUCUGUGGCGUGUAUUGAUGGCCAAUAGCGAGUACGAGUAUGUGAAGAGGGAAUUCGAGUUCGACCAUCACCUCCCGGCCUCCAACUGGAUCAUUGUCUGCUUAGAUGGCUGUCAUUUCCACCGUUUUGUUUUCAGAGAGGGAACAGAAUUCUGUCAAAGACUUCUCUACCAAUAAUUGCAGCAAAAUUCUCUCUUUGUGUGUUUCUUACAUCACACCUGUGUAUGUGAUGAAGUUGAAAGAUUUCUUUCCAAAUAAAGAGUUGAGAGAGGCUCCAUAUUUUGAUGGGCGAGUUGUAUGCUAUCCAAAUAUGAAGACCAUUCGUGAUUAUUUGGCAUGGAGGCAACUGGACUGUCAUAGAAAUAAUCAUUAAAAUACAUGCUUCUGGACAUUAGUGAUAUCUGAAAAAACUGAAAAAGAGGCACAACAAGCAUUGAAGGUAA
Long non-coding RNA from Triticum aestivum (bread wheat), 718 nucleotides. RefSeq lists it as uncharacterized. The record is from RefSeq and is a predicted model, not a curated record. Lineage: Eukaryota; Viridiplantae; Streptophyta; Magnoliopsida; Poales; Poaceae. The transcript has 4 exons.